This 69-nucleotide transfer RNA is filed under the name Sphaerodactylus townsendi. Its description in RNAcentral is "tRNA-Thr". The stretch from base 4 to 62 matches the Rfam family "tRNA", at positions 7 to 64 of the family's 71-position model. From Rfam's summary of the family: Transfer RNA (tRNA) molecules are approximately 80 nucleotides in length. Their secondary structure includes four short double-helical elements and three loops (D, anti-codon, and T loops). Lineage: Eukaryota; Metazoa; Chordata; Lepidosauria; Squamata; Sphaerodactylidae. The record is from RNAcentral.
GCCAUGGCGCAGUGGCAGAGCCUCUGUCUUGUAAGCAGAAAAGUCCAGGUUUGAUCCCUGGUAUAUCCC